Molecule: long non-coding RNA, 1825 nt
Organism: Homo sapiens (human)
Lineage: Eukaryota; Metazoa; Chordata; Mammalia; Primates; Hominidae
Gene: CT62
Product: cancer/testis associated 62
Source: Ensembl
GGAGAGCUCUGGCUCAGAGUUUGCGAUCCGAGAGCGGGAUCCGCGCUCCCUCGGUCCUUCCUCCCUCCCCUCUUGCGGCCUCCCGCUGUCAUCUGGAGCCGCUCCUGCCGCCCCCUGGCGGCGACCGCGGGAAGGGCCGGCCCCCAUCCGCACCCCUGACCCCGGAGGUCAACAACGGGAUGGUCCCUGGGUCCCAGGGGAAGAGACAUCACCCAGUAGGAGGGAGUACGGUCUAGACAGAGGCCACGAGGGCGGGAGGGGGCGAGAGUGGAGAGUGGCCCAGCUGGCCAGGGUCGUCUAAGUGAGAGGAAAAGGGAGAGGGCGGUUGAGACCAGGCCCUGAAUUCCGCGUUCAUCUUAUCCUGAGGUAUUCAGUGCCGAGUGUGGCCUUGGUGCUAGGAUUCAAAGAGGAAAGGAAGAAAACUUUCCAUUCUAAAAGAAACUCCACGUGAGGCGAAGAAGAUGAAAUAUAGUCAGAAAACCAUACCAGUAGGUGUUAAGUUGAUAAAUGAUGCAUACGACAUCCUAUAGAAGACUGUCACCACCCCACCUCACUGAUCAGCCCUCUGCCUACAGCCACACCCACAGAACAUUCAGCCAUUUCUCCUGUGGUUCCCAGCCUGCAGCACAGCGUCUGCACGUGGAACUCUGGAAUGCUGACCUACAGUCUGAGUUCCUGUGCCCUUGCCUGGGGCUGACUCUCUACUUGACCUGUAACCCACAACUGGGCAAGAGAAAAUUCUGCAGCCACAGCUCUGAGGACAUGAGCAAAAUGGUUUCCAGACGGAAUGUCAAGGAUUCCCAUGAAGUGUCAGGGAGUCUUCAGGCCACACUUCAGGUUAUCUCCUUCUCUUUCCCUUUUCUGCUUCACACUUGCUCUCAUCCUCUUUCUCACCCCACAUCUGGUCAGAGGAGAUAGGAAGGUUCUUGUUACCUGGUACAAGACAACUUUUGGAAUCCCAGAUAUUCAGAUUAUUUCCCCUUUUCCUCUUUGCAAAUGAUAAUACUCACAGCCAAGAGGCAUCACCCGGAUCCGAGGCUGCUUCUCCUUAGGACAUGCAGACAGAAGGAGAAGGCGGGGCUGGCAGCCUCCAGUCCACAGCCUCCCUUUCUUCUUCCGGCGAUGAUUAACUAGGCCUAGACAAUGGAGAUCUACGGCAUACGCCCAGGGCCUCCUCUUCUCAAGCAUGGCUGAUCAGUCACUUUCCCGUCUAUCCUUCAUUUAUUGAAGCCAACUAUGAACGACUAAAGGAAGGAUGAGAAAAGUCACCCAAAGUCAAAGGGGACAGCGUGGGAGACUGUUCUAGACAGAAGGAAACACCUUUGCAAAGACCCUGAGGAAGGCAGGGGACUCUCCAGGAGCAGAAGGGCUGUGUGGCUUCAGAGUCCACAAAAGAGAGCAGAUACAGGACACUGGCUAGAGCAGGCCCUGGAGCCCGCUGCUGUCCUGGAGGCCUUGGGGAGGCCCAGUGUUCCCAGGGUGGAAGAAGUAGGGGACAGCUUGACGUAGUGGCUGUUGAUCAGCUGAUAUGGAAGUAUGUCAUUUUAUUAACAAUUGAGAAAGGAGUGCUGUGCAAUUCCAUUCAAUGCCAGUGAUGCUUAUGGCCGUUUUUAUGAGUUCUGUCAUUUUCAAAUGAGCAAGAGGAAGCCUCUAAGGGGGUUUAAGCAGGGACUGACGUAAUCAGAUCUGUGUUUUUCCAAAGGGAGAGGGAGAAAAAGAACAUUUCUUAUUUUUCAAAAAAGGUAAUGCAAAAGCAUCAUUCCACAAUUCUCUUGUAAUGAAAAAAAUAAAUGCAAACUUAAGCAAAUCCAUCAUUCUGAAAGAA